CCGGGAGCCCCAACCCGGCCCGUGUGGUGGGCUCUGGUGUUCCUCGCUGGCCAGGACUACAGGUGGUGGUCUGAAAGAAUGACGUGAUGACGUGAUGACGUGAACGCUUUGAUGACUUUGACUUCACAAGGACAGACCAUGACCCUGCCAAGCCUUUCAGCUAUCUACUUCCUGAGCAAUGAAGCCUGAGGUAAUGAGCUUUUAGAUUUAAACCAGAUUAGAUCUAAGACGAACGUGACCGUUGCUGUCUUGAAUCAGCCACAGGAGAGGUUCAUGGAACUAGGCCUAUUAAUAUCCCCUCAUGAGGAAAAGGUCCAUAUUCAGGAGCAAGUUGACCAGGACUCUUCCAUUAUUGAAGCUUCCCAUAAGUGACCCAAGGACUCCUCAGUGGUGUGGGUUCUUUGUGAAUCAUCCCUGCUACAGGUGAGACUUUUAAUUUGGUAUAGUUGCCCAUUAAACUGCCCAAGGGACUUCCUGGUGAUGUAACUGCCUUGAGUCACCCAUGUACCUAUAAGUGGCCUCAAUAAAUUCAAUGGUUCACCAAGCUGAA
Molecule: long non-coding RNA, 550 nt
Organism: Rattus norvegicus (Norway rat)
Lineage: Eukaryota; Metazoa; Chordata; Mammalia; Rodentia; Muridae
Source: RefSeq, a predicted model, not a curated record